This 452-nucleotide small RNA is filed under the name Arabidopsis thaliana (thale cress). Its description in RNAcentral is "ATSL000920". Lineage: Eukaryota; Viridiplantae; Streptophyta; Magnoliopsida; Brassicales; Brassicaceae. The record is from RNAcentral.
AAAUAUAGUUUAAUAUUUUAAUAAAUAAUGUAAACAUAACAAAAAAAUUAUUUAUUAAAAUAUACACAUAACAAAGAAGACGGAAAGCUCCUCUCUCACAAGCCAGGCUAUCUCGCCACCUGCUAUACCUUUGAAUAUUUCAAAGGUCUUUUUUGAGAAGUAUUUCAAAGGUCCGUCUUCUUGACACUACCGGCGACAAGAGACAUUUUUACAACGAAAGAGUUCGAUAAUAGAAAGGUUAGUAAAAAAAUAAAAAUAUUCUUUGUCGUAAUUAUUUCAAAGGUCAUUUUUGAGAAGUCAAUAAAACUAUGUUUUGUUUUGUUAACAACAUGCAUUAUACCGUUUGAUUGAUAACAUAAUAACGACACUAGCACAUUUUACUAGUUUACACAUUAUAAUCAACCUAAUCGUUUUUGGUCAUAUUUUUGUUCUAAAUUAUUUAUGUUUUGCUU